This 214-nucleotide ribosomal RNA is filed under the name uncultured bacterium. RNAcentral's name for it is "partial 16S ribosomal RNA". It matches the Rfam family "Bacterial small subunit ribosomal RNA", at positions 1287 to 1500 of the family's 1533-position model. The record is from RNAcentral.
CCCAGUUCGGAUUGUAGUCUGCAACCCGGCUACAUGAAGCUGGAAUCGCUAGUAAUCGCGGAUCAGAAUGCCGCGGUGAAUACGUUCCCGGGCCUUGUACACACCGCCCGUCACACCAUGAGAGUCGAUAACACCCGAAGCCUGUAGUCUAACCAUAAGGAGGACGCAGUCGAAGGUGGGAUUGAUAAUUAGGGUGAAGUCGUAACAAGGUACC